This 317-nucleotide unclassified non-coding RNA is filed under the name uncultured fungus. RNAcentral describes it as "partial contains small subunit ribosomal RNA, internal transcribed spacer 1, and 5.8S ribosomal RNA". The stretch from base 1 to 73 matches the Rfam family "Eukaryotic small subunit ribosomal RNA", at positions 1759 to 1831 of the family's 1831-position model. The record is from RNAcentral. Lineage: Eukaryota; Fungi.
UCAAACUUGGUCAUUUAGAGGAAGUAAAAGUCGUAACAAGGUUUCCGUAGGUGAACCUGCGGAAGGAUCAUUAAUGAAAUGCACCCUCGGGGGGUUGUGCUGGCGCUCCGGCGCAAUGUGCACGCCCCCUCUGGCGUUCAGACCCCUUCACACCUGUGCACGAACCCGUCGGACGGGAGUGGUGCAUCACGCGCCCUCCGGUCUGGCCCUUCACAUCAGCUUAUUAUCGUACGUCGAAUGCAUCACUGCGCACGCGCAACCGAAAUACAACUUUUAACAACGGAUCUCUUGGUUCUCGCAUCGAUGAAGAACGCAGC